AUUGAACGCUGGCGGCAUGCCUUACACAUGCAAGUCGAACGGUAACGGGCCUUCGGGUGCCGACGAGUGGCGAACGGGUGAGUAAUACAUCGGAACGUGCCCGAUCGUGGGGGAUAACGAGGCGAAAGCUUUGCUAAUACCGCAUACGAUCUACGGAUGAAAGCAGGGGACCGCAAGGCCUUGCGCGGACGGAGCGGCCGAUGGCAGAUUAGGUAGUUGGUGGGAUAAAAGCUUACCAAGCCGACGAUCUGUAGCUGGUCUGAGAGGAUGAUCAGCCACACUGGGACUGAGACACGGCCCAGACUCCUACGGGUGGCAGCAGUGGGGAAUUUUGGACAAUGGGCGCAAGCCUGAUCCAGCCAUGCCGCGUGCAGGAUGAAGGCCUUCGGGUUGUAAACUGCUUUUGUACGGAACGAAAAGCCUUCUUUUAAUACAGGAGGGUCAUGACGGUACCGUAAGAAUAAGCACCGGCUAACUACGUG
Molecule: ribosomal RNA, 482 nt
Filed under: uncultured bacterium
Lineage: Bacteria
Description: partial 16S ribosomal RNA
Rfam family: Bacterial small subunit ribosomal RNA
Source: RNAcentral